Molecule: ribosomal RNA, 448 nt
Filed under: Pseudomonas sp. S-18-25-3
Lineage: Bacteria; Pseudomonadati; Pseudomonadota; Gammaproteobacteria; Pseudomonadales; Pseudomonadaceae
Description: bacterial SSU rRNA
Rfam family: Bacterial small subunit ribosomal RNA
Source: RNAcentral
AGAGUUUGAUCAUGGCUCAGAUUGAACGCUGGCGGCAGGCCUAACACAUGCAAGUCGAGCGGAUGAGGGGAGCUUGCUUCCUGAUUCAGCGGCGGACGGGUGAGUAAUGCCUAGGAAUCUGCCUGGUAGUGGGGGACAACGUUCCGAAAGGAGCGCUAAUACCGCAUACGUCCUACGGGAGAAAGUGGGGGAUCUUCGGACCUCACGCUAUCAGAUGAGCCUAGGUCGGAUUAGCUAGUAGGUGGGGUAAUGGCUCACCUAGGCGACGAUCCGUAACUGGUCUGAGAGGAUGAUCAGCCACACUGGAACUGAGACACGGUCCAGACUCCUACGGGAGGCAGCAGUGGGGAAUAUUGGACAAUGGGCGAAAGCCUGAUCCAGCCAUGCCGCGUGUGUGAAGAAGGUCUUCGGAUUGUAAAGCACUUUAAGUUGGGAGGAAGGGCAGUAA